GAGUUGUGUGUUACCUCUUAUGAUAGUGAAGAAAAUGGGGCUGCCCUUGUUGUUGCUCUCGGUUAUGUGCCACUCUUUACUCUCUAUCUUGCUGAAAAUUUGAUGGUAUGCAGAAGGAAGUUGAAUGUGUUGUGGAGGGGAUUUUAUAGAUUGGUUGUGGUGUACUCGUGAGCCUUAAAUGGCUGUUGUAUCACUUGUUGUUAUGCUGCAGAAUAUCUCACUUUUAGUGAUCUCCUUGUCUCUCCUUCAUGGCUGCAAAACUUGUAUUUUUAUGGGUACCUAGUACUAGUUAUUAAUUGGGGUUGUUUGAUUUGUAGAGAGGCAGGGGAUGUGGUGCCAAGGGCUGCAUUAUGAAGGGUGUGCAGGCUGGAAUCCCCCUUUUUUUGGCAAGUUCUUGGUCUUCAAGGAAAAAGAAGGGUGAGAGUGAAAUCUCGGCUACUACCUGGCUGCACCGCGAGCGGGCCUGGGUUCGUGGCCUGGGCCGACGGGUCUGCUCGAAACGGGCCCUAAUUUGGGCCUGGAGGAAGGGCCCGAAGUGCACCCCAAAGUCUAUUUUCCUUUCCUUGUUUUCUUUCAUUGAGGACUUUGAUCCAUGUAAUCUAUUUUAUUAGUUGUUCAUUUUAUUG
Molecule: non-coding RNA, 626 nt
Organism: Salvia hispanica
Lineage: Eukaryota; Viridiplantae; Streptophyta; Magnoliopsida; Lamiales; Lamiaceae
Source: RefSeq, a predicted model, not a curated record